GUAAUUUCUGGCGUCCGUGUUAGACUGGGUCGAGUGCCUAUUCGAAAAAUGGCCGCCAAAGUUGAAAAAGACAAGUGCGCGCAAAUAAUUUCUCAAAACCUUCAAUUAGACGAGAAUGUAGUGUCCAGAAUUCUGGUGCUGCUGGAUAACGACAACACCAUCCCUUUCAUUGCUCGCUAUCGGAAAGAGCAUAGCGGGGGACUAGACCCGGCCGUGCUUAGACACAUUGACGGACAGUACCAACUCCUGAACAAUUUCUCCAACUACAGAUUCCGCUUCUCCAUGCCGGGCAACACAGAAAGUCUUUAUUACAGUGCAGAUAUAUUGUUACUUGGCUUGCAGUUAUUGAAAGUUAUUGAAAUAAAUUUGGAAAGGAGGCAGCAGCCCCUGAAAACCGCACCCUUUGCCCGUAGAUCUUUCUGAUGGGUCAUCGUCCCAUGUACUGCUCCAAUACAGACCAUGACGACUGUACCAUGCAUGAGAGUCGAGUUUGGACAGGAAUUCCAGAGCUUAACAAACCAGGACUAGAGGAUAUACUCUACAAAUAUGGUGCUGAUGUCCUUAUAUGGGCUCAUGAGCAUUCCUAUGAGAAACUCUUUCCUGUGUAUAAUCGACAGGAUCUACUGUGAGUAUGUCACCCUACACCAACCCUUGUGCACCCAUCCAUCCAUAUCAUCACAGGAUCUGCUAAAAUGGUUGUGGAUAGUACCUGGCUGAUAAAAGACAGACAUGAGUCAUAUUUCAAGGCCCACCAUUAACUCUCCCAGGGACUCUGCUUAUACUUAACAAUUUAUCACAUCUUAACAGGGUUUGGGGGGGGGGCGUAAAUUGAUUAUUUCAUCAUUUAGGUAGCCUAUGUACAGCCGGAAAAGGUUCCAUUAGAACCAUUUUGUGGCUGCAUGCAGGCUACAUUUAAGGGGUCUGAAAUUUUUAUGUGAUUUUUCAGGCAGUUUGAAUAACAUGUUUUACUUGAAAUAAAGUCAUGUAACUGCUCCAUCUA
Molecule: RNA transcript, 1000 nt
Organism: Nematostella vectensis (starlet sea anemone)
Lineage: Eukaryota; Metazoa; Cnidaria; Anthozoa; Actiniaria; Edwardsiidae
Gene name: acid phosphatase type 7
Exons: 7
Source: RefSeq, a predicted model, not a curated record